Long non-coding RNA from Syzygium oleosum, 2512 nucleotides. RefSeq lists it as uncharacterized. The transcript has 2 exons. NCBI's taxonomy places the organism in Eukaryota, Viridiplantae, Streptophyta, Magnoliopsida, Myrtales, Myrtaceae. The record is from RefSeq and is a predicted model, not a curated record.
UUCUCUUCUAGCCCUACUAUUCUAUAAUUAGGACUAUUGGUCGUUUUCUUCUUUUUUCCUUGAAAAUAGACAAUGUGUUCAUUAGUGCAUUUUCUGCUGCAAUUGUCUUCUGCUACCUGUCUUCAUGAAGUUAAGAAAGUAAGUGCGAAACCUUAUUGAAGUGACAUGUGGUUGAUGAAGUCAUAUAUUUCCUGUGAAGUUGGUUGUCUUUACGUUCCUGUAAUCAGCGCUUUCUAGUGUAUCUGUUUGACUGAAGAAAUUUAUCCUACAAAGUUCUAAUUGCUGGUUUAUAUAUUCUCUUAUCAUAAGAUUCCGAUCCAGUGAUGAUCUUUAUAUUACUUUGCAUGUAACUGAAUUGAGAUGGCCUAUUUGAUGAGAAAGAGAUAUAUGCCUUAGCUGGUCUAAUGCAGGAAAUUAGUUAGAGCCAACCAUUAAAAGUUUCACUGAUGAUGUAAACUGAUCUGUGGGAGUGAUCUUUCUUUCAUGCUGUAUCAUUUUCCUGAGGGAGUUGUGACGAAGUUCUCCUAUCUCUUGCAGUGUGAGAUAAAGAGUUUUGACUCUAGCGUAGAACAUCAAUAAGUUCUGGAAAGUAAUUUGUGUGUCCAAUGUGAUACUUGAAGGCUCAAAGGUAGUGAAAAAUAAUAGGGGGAAAACUAGUAGGGGCUCCAUUGGCAUUAUACCAGGGCACGUUGAUGUGAGGAUCUCUAGAGGAAUAAAAUAAAAGUAUGAUUAUACUGAAAGAAGAAAAUGAUGCAUAUAUAUGUGUACUGGUCAACUAGAGAGUUUGUUAAAUUGAAAUUUUGGCUAUUAGUUGACUUGGUGCUCUCUUCUUCUUUCUAGAUAUCUCUGUCCCUAUAGUCAAGAAAACUCGGAAUGGAAAAUAUCAUGAGCUGUCCCUUUUGUCUAACUCUGGUAAAAAGUUAAUAAAUGUUGUUGCACUUAGGGGUAAAUGUAGUGGGAAAAUGAAAUAUGUAAUCUAGAAGUUUGAGAAUAUGGCCAGAUUUGAAGAGGUCAUGGAAUCACGUAGGACAUUGCUGCUUAGAAAAAGGCACUCCUGUUUUCCUCUUUAAAGCCAUCUAAUCUUAACAUUAAAGUACAAGAGUGGGUAAAAAUACAGUUUUGUGGUUGAGUCGCAUGUUGCACCACCACAAAAGUCCUUGUGGUAAACCGAAAAAGGUAAUAAAUAGAUUAUAAUACCAUCCCACCAACUCUACUAGUGACGGUAUCCAAGAAAUUUUAACAUUUAGCUGUGUUGUUUGGUACACAAAUCCAAUCUUUGGAAAUUUUAAUUGUUUACUAAUGAAACUGAAGUCUCUUAGAGAGGCACCAACGAGGUGCCAACUCUUAUAAACUAUUGACUAUCGUCACAAGCUACUGUACAAUUUAAACUCCCCUAAAGACAAUUCGAUCUGAAGAGACUGUAAAGAUAACAAAGUAAAUAAUAACCUUUUAGUGAAAGAUAAUGUCAUUGUCACAAUUCUUCACAUAUCACAAAAUCUAUAUUAUCUUGCAAUGGAUUAGAAAAGUUCUAUAGAGAGAAUUGUAGCUUGAACCAGGCAAAAUAAUAUGUAAAUCCCAAAGCAUCAGUACCUUGCAUGUUAAUUAUCAGAAUGCUUCCAACUUAAUUCAUUAAACCUAGCAAAGGUAGUAGCUGCUUUAAUUUUUUUUUUUCAAUUUUUGUACAUGUUAGAAAAUCCAAACCAAAGUUUAAACUGUUAAGUGGAGGAAGAAGAGAUAAUGUAUAUAAACCCUUGAACAAGUGAUGUGGGAAACUUUAACAUCCCCUCUCACAUGCAAACAGGGCUGAGAAUGACAUGUAGAUUUGAUGAAUGGGGAGCCUCACACCCAAAAUAAACUGUGUCGGAACUUAACUUUGAUGUCAUGUUAGAAUGUUCAAUAAAAAGCUUACGCCUUAGGUGGAGGGAGACAACAUGUGCAUAAGGCCUAUAACAUAUAAGCGAUGUAUGAUAGUUGGACAGCAUAGAUGGGCAUGUAGUGGCCCCCGUCUAUGUUAUCGAUUAGUCUUUGAAUUUGGACCACUGCAUCAAUUUUUUUUUGUAAAAAUGGAAAUUAUAGCCACUAAUUGCUCAAUUAUAACCUUUGCUUCGUCUAUUCUUUUACUUCUUUGUUAUUUACAUCCUUAAAAUUUCUUUUAGGAUGUGUAAAGACAUUGAUCAUUCAUAUAGUAAAUGAAAGAUAGUCUAGUUCCUCCAUAAAGCUCAUACCAAGUACCUUUUGUCGGUCUUCUUUGAAUAAUUAAUUUACAUGACACGAGUUCCAUACAAGUCAAAAAAACCACAUCUAUAUAUUGAAAAGAAUUUCCUUUUUGAAGCGAUACACAUUAACAUAAAGGAAAUGAUGAACCCGAGUUUGUCUUCGUAAAAACCAUGAAGCAUUUCGAUGAAACACUGGCAGAUUAACUUCUAACACCUAAAAUCAACAAUUUCAUUUUAGCAAUAAGAUAAGACCGAUGAAAAUCUAGUCUUCGACUUUUACCUUGCUUUUACUCAAA